AUUGAACGCUGGCGGCAUGCUUUACACAUGCAAGUCGAACGGUAACAGGCCGCAAGGUGCCGACGAGUGGCGCACGGGUGGGUAAUGCAUCGGAACGUGCCCAGUCGUGGGGGAUAACUACUCGAAAGAGUAGCUAAUACCGCAUACGAUCUAUGGAUGAAAGCGGGGGACCGUAAGGCCUCGCGCGAUUGGAGCGGCCGAUGUCAGAUUAGGUAGUUGGUGGGGUAAAGGCUCACCAAGCCAACGAUCUGUAGCUGGUCUGAGAGGACGACCAGCCACACUGGGACUGAGACACGGCCCAGACUCCUACGGGAGGCAGCAGUGGGGAAUUUUGGACAAUGGGCGCAAGCCUGAUCCAGCAAUGCCGCGUGCAGGAAGAAGGCCUUCGGGUUGUAAACUGCUUUUGUACGGAACGAAACGGCUCUGGUUAAUACCCGGGGCUAAUGACGGUACCGUAAGAAUAAGCACCGGCUAACUACGUG
RNAcentral lists this ribosomal RNA (482 nucleotides) under uncultured bacterium. RNAcentral describes it as "partial 16S ribosomal RNA". It matches the Rfam family "Bacterial small subunit ribosomal RNA", at positions 30 to 507 of the family's 1533-position model. The record is from RNAcentral.